This is a long non-coding RNA of Cyprinodon tularosa, 277 nucleotides long. RefSeq lists it as uncharacterized. The transcript is spliced from 2 exons. NCBI's taxonomy places the organism in Eukaryota, Metazoa, Chordata, Actinopteri, Cyprinodontiformes, Cyprinodontidae. The record is from RefSeq and is a predicted model, not a curated record.
AAAAUGUUAUAAAAGACUGGCCAUUUGCAGCAUCAUCUGUGGAUGUUCCUGCUUUGCCUACAAAGCACUGGAGUAUUAUUUCAAGGGAGAACAGAAGCACGGCAAAGAAGAAGAAGGAGACAAAGAAGAAGCUGAUGAGUUUUUUCAGAAGUCGAAAAAAUACAGUAUCAUCGCCAUGGUGACAGGGAUUGGGACUAUAAUCAGCAUUAUUGUACUAACAUUUCUCAUUUCCUACAUUCUUACACUGUUCGACUGAACAUCCACAGCAGCACACACA